This 253-nucleotide ribosomal RNA is filed under the name uncultured bacterium. Its description in RNAcentral is "partial 16S ribosomal RNA". It matches the Rfam family "Bacterial small subunit ribosomal RNA", at positions 524 to 776 of the family's 1533-position model. The record is from RNAcentral.
UACGUAGGGUCCGAGCGUUGUCCGGAAUUACUGGGCGUAAAGAGCUCGUAGGUGGUUUGUCGCGUUGUUCGUGAAAACUCACAGCUCAACUGUGGGCGUGCGGGCGAUACGGGCAGACUAGAGUACUGCAGGGGAGACUGGAAUUCCUGGUGUAGCGGUGGAAUGCGCAGAUAUCAGGAGGAACACCGGUGGCGGAGGCGGGUCUCUGGGCCAUUACUGACGCUGAGGAGCGAAAGCGUGGGGAGCGAACAGG